RNAcentral lists this ribosomal RNA (971 nucleotides) under Bacillus safensis. RNAcentral's name for it is "bacterial SSU rRNA". It matches the Rfam family "Bacterial small subunit ribosomal RNA", at positions 534 to 1303 of the family's 1533-position model. The record is from RNAcentral. Lineage: Bacteria; Bacillati; Bacillota; Bacilli; Caryophanales; Bacillaceae.
GCUUGGAACGUUCUGAACUUUGAAGAUGAAGGGCUCCCAUGCGCCAUUCUAAAAAUCUAUGUCCCUCCCGCGGCUCAACCGGGGAGGGUCAUUGGAAACUGGCAAACUUGUUUGCACAAUAGGAGAGUGGAAUUCCACUUGUAGCGGUGAAAUGCGUAAAAAUGUGGAGGAACACCAGUGGCGAAAGCGACUCUCUGGUCUGUAACUGACGCUGAGGAGCGAAAGCGUGGGGAGCGAACAGGAUUAGAUACCCUGGUAGUCCACGCCGUAAACGAUGAGUGCUAAGUGUUAGGGGGUUUCCGCCCCUUAGUGCUGCAACUAACGCAUUAAGCACUCCGCCUGGGGAGUACGGUCGCAAGACUGAAACUCAAAGGAAUUGACGGGGGCCCGCACAAGCGGUGGAGCAUGUGGUUUAAUUCGAAGCAACGCGAAGAACCUUACCAGGUCUUGACAUCCUCUGACAACCCUUAGAGAUAGGGCUUUCCCUUUCGGGGACAGAGUGACAGGUGGUGCAUGGUUGUCGUCAGCUCGUGUCAUGAGAUGUUGGGUUAAAGUCCCGCAACGAGCGCACCCCUUUGAUCUUAGUUGGCCAGCAUUUCAGUUGGGGCACUCUAAGGUGACUGCCGGUGACCAAACCGGGAGGAAGGUGGGGGAUGACGUUCAAAUCAUCAUGCCCCCUUUAUGAACCUGGGGCCUACACACGGUGCUACAAUGGGAACUAGAACAAAAGGGGCUUGCCAAGACCCGCCAGGGUUUAGGCCAUAUUCCCCAAUUAAAUUCUUGUUCUUCAAUGUUCGGGAUUCGACAUUCUCUUGGAUAACUUACCAACUGGCCGUGGAAAGCCUCGGAAAUCCCCCUUAGGUUAAAUUCGCCCGGCAUCCACGCACUGGGCCAUGCGCGGUAAACUUACCGGUUACCCUGGGACCUUUAUGCUACACUCACUGCUCCGGUUUCUAACGCGCACAUGGAUG